AUGAACGCUAGCGACAGGCUUAACACAUGCAAGUCGAGGGGCAGCAUAAAAGUAGCAAUACUUGGUGGCGACCGGCGCACGGGUGAGUAACGCGUAUGCAACCUACCUAUCAGAGGGGAAUAACCCGGCGAAAGUCGGACUAAUACCGCAUAAAACAGGGACACCGCAUGGUGAUAUUUGUUAAAGAAAUUCGCUGAUAGAUGGGCAUGCGUUCCAUUAGGUAGUUGGUGAGGUAGCGGCUCACCAAGCCGACGAUGGAUAGGGGAACUGAGAGGUUGGUCCCCCACACUGGUACUGAGACACGGACCAGACUCCUACGGGAGGCAGCAGUGAGGAAUAUUGGUCAAUGGGCGAGAGUCUGAACCAGCCAAGUCGCGUGCAGGAAGAAUGUCCUAUGGAUUGUAAACUGCUUUUGCAGGGGAAUAAAGUGCAUCACGUGUGAUGUUUUGUAUGUACUCUGCGAAUAAGGAUCGGCUAACUCCGUGCCAGCAGCAGC
This 496-nucleotide ribosomal RNA is filed under the name uncultured bacterium. Its description in RNAcentral is "bacterial SSU rRNA". It matches the Rfam family "Bacterial small subunit ribosomal RNA", at positions 29 to 518 of the family's 1533-position model. The record is from RNAcentral.